RNAcentral lists this ribosomal RNA (93 nucleotides) under Brugia malayi. Lineage: Eukaryota; Metazoa; Nematoda; Chromadorea; Rhabditida; Onchocercidae. The record is from RNAcentral.
CCGUCUCCGAUCCAAGUACUAACCAGGCCCAACGUUGCUUAACUUGACAGAUCGGACGAGAUGUCGUGCUUUCAACGUGGUAUGGUCGUAGAC